Molecule: RNA transcript, 1183 nt
Organism: Dicentrarchus labrax (European seabass)
Lineage: Eukaryota; Metazoa; Chordata; Actinopteri; Moronidae
Gene name: immunoglobulin lambda-1 light chain-like
Exons: 6
Source: RefSeq, a predicted model, not a curated record
GUAGUUCUCCAAGCUAUGGCUCUGGUUUCUCCUCUCCAAAGUUCACCUCUACUCAUCAGUCACAAUCAGAUUAUCGUUUGAUCAUCAACAAUGUGGAGGAGGGAGACUCAGCAGUUUAUCACUGUCAAACAUGGGACAGCUCUGUCAUGUCUUUAUAAGCUUCAGUCUCUCUUCUCCUCACACUCCAACCCUGCUCACCUCUCAGCUGGACAGUAAGGGACGUUUACACCACACACUGACAACAUGCUGGGGACCCUCUGCACUCUCAUCACUGCUCUAACAUAUGUUGAUGCAGUGAUAGUGCUGACCCAGACGCCUGCUGUCCACACAGUUUCUACAGGACAAGAGGUUGUUCUCAACUGCAACAUUGAGAGAUAUGAUCGCAGUUAUAUCACUUGGUAUAAACAGGUUCCUGGUGGAACUCCUCAGCAUGUUCUGAGAUUUCACUAUUCUAGCAGUUCAAUUUCCUUUGGAACAGGAUUCUCCUCAGACCGAUUCAACUCUAAAGCCUCAUCAAACAUAGAUUACCAGUUCAUCAUUAAGCGGGCAGAGACAGGAGACUCUGCCGUCUAUUACUGUGAUACAUGGGAAUACUCUGCUGCUGCAGCUGUAUUCGGACAAGGCACCAAGCUGAUUGUGACAAGCUCCAGCCUCUCUCCUCCUGUCCUGACAGUCUUCCCUCCGUCCAGCGCUGAGCUCCAGUCCAACACAGCCACUCUGGUCUGUCUGUCCAUUUUGCCCAGUGGGUCUAAGGGUUUUGCAGAUGUGAGUUGGGUGUCUGGUGGGAGUCCAGUGAGCAGUGGGAUCUCUACCAGCACCGCUGUUCAGAAACCAGACCAGACUUUCCAAAUCAGCAGCUAUCUGGCCAUCCAGACGUCAGACUGGAACAUGGAUAAGGUUUACACAUGUAAAGUGUCUUUGGGCUCCCAGACUUCAGAGAAAAACAUCAAGAAGUCAAACUGUCCCACUGAAUAAUAGCAGAGGAGCAGAAUGACCAUUUCUAACCUGCUUCUUUACUGUUUUUGCUGUUUGCUCAUUACAAGGUUUACAUGUUAGAAAAGAUGUGUCUGCAUGCUUGUAAUAAAUGUUGUGACAGUUAGGUGGAGGUGUUGUAUCAGCUUUGCAACUGCUGCAUUUUUCAAGAUUCAUUCAAUAAAAAAAUACAAAAAACUGUGAACAAAAA